GGACGGACUUCUGGAGAGACCUUAUUAGGCGCCGAAGGGGCAAGGCAAAACUGCUCAAUCUCUCAGGCAAAAGGACAGAAGAUUAAAA
Molecule: non-coding RNA, 88 nt
Filed under: Streptococcus ictaluri
Lineage: Bacteria; Bacillati; Bacillota; Bacilli; Lactobacillales; Streptococcaceae
Also listed under: 1 other name
Description: Glycine sequence
Rfam family: Glycine riboswitch aptamer
About the family: This family represents the bacterial glycine riboswitch.
Source: RNAcentral